RNAcentral lists this ribosomal RNA (433 nucleotides) under uncultured bacterium. RNAcentral describes it as "partial 16S ribosomal RNA". It matches the Rfam family "Bacterial small subunit ribosomal RNA", at positions 29 to 507 of the family's 1533-position model. The record is from RNAcentral.
AACGAACGCUGGCGGCAUGCCUAACACAUGCAAGUCGAACGAGACCUUCGGGUCUAGUGGCGCACGGGUGCGUAACGCGUGGGAACCUGCCCUUAGGUUCGGAAUAACUCCCCGAGAGGGGUGCUAAUACCGGAUAAUGUCUUCGGACCAAAGAUUUAUCGCCUUUGGAUGGGCCCGCGUUGGAUUAGCUAGUUGGUAGGGUAAAAGCCUACCAAGGCGACGAUCCAUAGCUGGUCUGAGAGGAUGAUCAGCCACACUGGGACUGAGACACGGCCCAGACUCCUACGGGAGGCAGCAGUGGGGAAUAUUGGACAAUGGGCGAAAGCCUGAUCCAGCAAUGCCGCGUGAGUGACGAAGGCCUUAGGGUUGUAAAGCUCUUUUACCCGGGAUGAUAAUGACAGUACCGGGAGAAUAAGCUCCGGCUAACUCCGUG